Molecule: ribosomal RNA, 459 nt
Filed under: uncultured bacterium
Lineage: Bacteria
Description: partial 16S ribosomal RNA
Rfam family: Bacterial small subunit ribosomal RNA
Source: RNAcentral
CCUACGGGAGGCAGCAGUGAGGAAUAUUGGUCAAUGGACGAGAGUCUGAACCAGCCAAGUAGCGUGAAGGAUGACUGCCCUAUGGGUUGUAAACUUCUUUUAUAUGGGAAUAAAAUGUUCCACGUGUGGGAUUUUGUAUGUACCAUAUGAAUAAGGAUCGGCUAACUCCGUGCCAGCAGCCGCGGUAAUACGGAGGAUCCGAGCGUUAUCCGGAUUUAUUGGGUUUAAAGGGAGCGUAGGUGGAUUGUUAAGUCAGUUGUGAAAGUUUGCGGCUCAACCGUAAAAUUGCAGUUGAAACUGGCAGUCUUGAGUAGAGUAGAGGUGGGCGGAAGUCGUGGUGUAGCGGUGAAAUGCUUAGAUAUCACGAAGAACUCCGAUUGCGAAGGCAGUUCACUGGACUGCAACUGACACUGAGGCUCGAAAGUGUGGGUAUCAAACAGGAUUAAUACCCUAGUAGUC